RNAcentral lists this ribosomal RNA (584 nucleotides) under uncultured bacterium. Its description in RNAcentral is "partial 16S ribosomal RNA". It matches the Rfam family "Bacterial small subunit ribosomal RNA", at positions 355 to 1375 of the family's 1533-position model. The record is from RNAcentral.
UGGGGAAUUUUGGACAAUGGGCGAAAGCCUGAUCCAGCAAUGCCGCGUGUGUGAAGAAGGCCUUCGGGUUGUAAAGCACUUUUGUCCGGAAAGAAAUCCUUGGCUCUAAUACAGUCGGGGGAUGACGGUACCGGAAGAAUAAGCACCGGCUAACUACGUGCCAGCAGCCGCGGUAAUACGUAGGGUGCAAGCGUUAAUCGGAAUUACUGGGCGUAAAGCGUGCGCAGGCGGUUUGCUAGACCGAUGUGAAAUCCCCGGGCUCAACCUGGGAACUGCGUUGGUGACUGGCAGGCUAGAGUAUGGCAGAGGGGGGUAGAAUUCCACGUGUAGCAGUGAAAUGCGUAGAGAUGUGGAGGAAUACCGAUGGCGAAGGCAGCCCCCUGGGCCAAUACUGACGCUCAUGCACGAAAGCGUGGGGAGCAAACAGGAUUAGAUACCCUGGUAGUCCACGCCCUAAACGAUGUCAACUAGUUGUUGGGGAUUCAUUUCCUUAGUAACGUAGCUAACGCGUGAAGUUGACCGCCUGGGGAGUACGGUCGCAAGAUUAAAACUCAAAUGAAUUGACGGGGUCAUAGCUGUUUCCU